GAUUAUGGCUCAGGAUGAACGCUAGCGACAGGCUUAACACAUGCAAAGUCGAGGGGCAGCGCGAGGGUAGCAAUACCUUUGGCGGCGACCGGCGCACUGGUGAGUAACACGUAUGCGACCUGCCCCGGACAGGGGGAUAAACCCGGGAAACUGGGCCUAAUACCCCAUAUGCCAAGGGACCGCAUGGUCUCCUGGUGAAAGAUCCGUCGGUCCGGGAUGGGCAUGCGGCGCAUUAGCUGGUUGGCGGGGCAACGGCCACCAAGGCGACGAUGCGUAGGGGUUCUGAGAGGAAGGUCCCCCACACUGGUACUGAGACACGGACCAGACUCCUACGGGAGGCAGCAGUGAGGAAUAUUGGUCAAUGGACGCGAGUCUGAACCAGCCAAGUCGCGUGCGGGAUGAAGGCCCUCCGGGUCGUAAACCGCUUUAGCCGGGGAGUAACGUGCGGGACGCGUCCCGCAGUGAGAGUACCCGGAGAAUAAGACAUCGGCUAACUCCGUGCCAGCCGCGGC
Molecule: ribosomal RNA, 512 nt
Filed under: uncultured bacterium
Lineage: Bacteria
Description: bacterial SSU rRNA
Rfam family: Bacterial small subunit ribosomal RNA
Source: RNAcentral